UACGAAGGGUGCAAGCGUUACUCGGAAUUACUGGGCGUAAAGCGUGCGUAGGUGGUUCGUUAAGUCUGUCGUGAAAGCCCCGGGCUCAACCUGGGAAUGGCGAUGGAUACUGGCGGGCUAGAGUGCGGUAGAGGAGAGUGGAAUUCCCGGUGUAGCAGUGAAAUGCGUAGAGAUCGGGAGGAACACCAGUGGCGAAGGCGACUACCUGGCCUGUUCUUGACGCUGAGGCGCGAAAGCUAGGGGAGCAAACGGG
RNAcentral lists this ribosomal RNA (253 nucleotides) under uncultured bacterium. RNAcentral describes it as "partial 16S ribosomal RNA". It matches the Rfam family "Bacterial small subunit ribosomal RNA", at positions 524 to 776 of the family's 1533-position model. The record is from RNAcentral.